UCCCUCAAGCCGGAUUUGAAUCAGCGACCUAAGGAUCACCGUUGUACAUCUACAGUCCUCCGCUCUGCCAACCGAGCUAUCGAGAG
Molecule: transfer RNA, 86 nt
Filed under: Cordylochernes scorpioides
Lineage: Eukaryota; Metazoa; Arthropoda; Arachnida; Pseudoscorpiones; Chernetidae
Description: tRNA-Tyr
Source: RNAcentral